GUGCUCGCUUCGGCAGCACAUAUACUAAAAACUGGAACAAUACAGAGAAGAUUAACAUGGCCCCUGCGCAAGGAUGACACACAAAUUUGUGAAGCGUUCCAUAUUUAA
Molecule: small nuclear RNA, 108 nt
Filed under: Sorex araneus (European shrew)
Lineage: Eukaryota; Metazoa; Chordata; Mammalia; Eulipotyphla; Soricidae
Source: RNAcentral